RNAcentral lists this long non-coding RNA (270 nucleotides) under Hordeum vulgare. RNAcentral's name for it is "long non-coding RNA (HVUL_LNC005877)". Lineage: Eukaryota; Viridiplantae; Streptophyta; Magnoliopsida; Poales; Poaceae. The record is from RNAcentral.
ACGUGCACAGGAAUCGCUGAAUUGACGCCUUAAAACGUGCAUAGAGCCGCUGGUUUUACUUAAAAAAAGGAAUCGCUGAAUUAACGCCUUGACGGUAUGUUUCCAGUAUUGCUUGGCUUGAUCGCUGGGUUGUUUCUUCGUUGACCGCCGCAGCGCCGCUGUUGGUCGCCGCCGUCUUGCUCCAGCCUUCAAGGCGUUAAUUAACUCGCUCGUUCAACUCUGUGUAUCUGCGGCUUUUGUCUCCUGACGAACGAGACGCCGGUAGUCUGC